Molecule: long non-coding RNA, 232 nt
Filed under: Eutrema salsugineum
Lineage: Eukaryota; Viridiplantae; Streptophyta; Magnoliopsida; Brassicales; Brassicaceae
Description: long non-coding RNA (ESAL_LNC000321)
Source: RNAcentral
UCCUCCGGGUUUUGAGAGGAAAAUAAUACACCUUCUGUCCCAACUUCAGCCUCCAGCACCUAAAAAAGCAACUCAGGAAGAAGAAAACCAAGUUUCAGAUGAAGAACCAGAUUGGCAGGAAUCAUUACCUUGUAUGAUGGCAAAGGAAUGUGUUGAAGAUUCAGCUGAUUCUUCAAUCCAAGAAGACCAGACAUGCAGCGAGAUAAAGAUGCCAUACAUCGAUUCAAUCAUU